This is a non-coding RNA of Cinara cedri, 212 nucleotides long. The record is from the annotation of a GenBank genome assembly. NCBI's taxonomy places the organism in Eukaryota, Metazoa, Arthropoda, Insecta, Hemiptera, Aphididae.
AAAUAUUAAAAGAUAUUUUUAACCACCUUUGUUAGACAACUCAAAAAUACGAUAUUAUUUUCCCUCGAAUUUGUAUGGUUCUUCUACAUUCGUCGGCGAUAAUCUACGUUCACCAAUAGUUACCCGUCGGCACACCAUUCAGUUUAAAACUGACAGUUACAACCGUAGUAUUCGAAAUCAAUACUCCGUCAGUCGUUCCGAUUAAUCAUAUA